AAAGAAAAGAAAGAAACAAGAAAUCAGACAGUUGAGACGAAGUGAAACUCUCCCUUCACCAUCACCAACUCCAACUCUUCUGUCUCAGCUUUCUCAUCUUUAAAGUGAGGAAACCUCUCUUCCCAGGGUUGCUGCUAGGAUUAAAUUAUGCAGAGCUUGGAAGCUUUUAACUCUUGGUGGCUCCUGGUAAUGGCGGGCUUCCUUAUCCAGGUGUCUCCACUGCUGUGCUUGGGACAUGCAGGAUAGGAUAUGUAACCCAGGUGAGUAUUU
This 270-nucleotide long non-coding RNA is filed under the name Ictidomys tridecemlineatus (thirteen-lined ground squirrel). Its description in RNAcentral is "lncRNA (ENSSTOG00000033581.1)". The record is from RNAcentral. Lineage: Eukaryota; Metazoa; Chordata; Mammalia; Rodentia; Sciuridae.